This 233-nucleotide ribosomal RNA is filed under the name uncultured archaeon. Its description in RNAcentral is "partial 16S ribosomal RNA". It matches the Rfam family "Archaeal small subunit ribosomal RNA", at positions 492 to 724 of the family's 1478-position model. The record is from RNAcentral.
AUGGCGAUAUUAUUGGCGCUAAAGCGUCCGUAGCUGGCCCUGCAAGUCCGUCGGGAAAUCCACUCGCCUAACGAGUGGGCGUCCGGCGGAAACUACAGGGCUUGGGACCGGAAGACUUGAGGGGUACGUCUGGGGUAGGAGUGAAAUCCUGUAAUCCUGGACGGACCGCCGAUAGCGAAAGCACCUCAAGACGACGGAUCCGACAGUGAGGGACGAAAGCUAGGGUCUCGAAC